CUUACAUACUGCAGAUGCUAUCUAUAAACUCCCCCUUCAAUUUUAAGUGAAGUGUUUAUCAGGUGGGAAAAUCUCUCCAAAAAGGAUAAAAAUAUCAGAGACAGCCAGACAAUAUUUGGUUCACUAGAGAAAAAUAUCAGUUUCUUACAGGGAGUAGAGGAAGCAGCAGAAACUGUACAUAACCAGAAAACAAAAGCAUAAUUGUUAAUGUUAUUUGAAAUCCACGAAUGCCUUAUUUGGUGCUCUCACCUGAGAUGGAAGACCAUCAGCUUUUUCUAAAUGAGCGUGCUGAUAUUUUCCAGUAAUUCUCAGUUUUAAAGCAGUGACAGGAUUUCAAAGGAAGAAAGACAAAAACAAUUUUCUGUUGAGAAAUACAGUCCAUAAUUCAGAAGACACUGAGGAUGCAGAAAAAGAGUGACAACAGGCCAAGUGUAAAUUGUCAGGAAUGUAAAGGCUCUUAGUGCAAAUGAGAAGUAGGCUUCCAAGAGCUUUUCAUCUGAUGAUUGUGAAGUGAUUCAUGCUGCACUGCUACUGCUGCCAUUAAGGAUGAGAAGACAGAAUGAACUGUGGGAGAUUGACAGUUUUGUAAAUCAGGACAUAAAUACUGAGUUGCAGGCGCCUGAAAACUCAGGUACUAUCCCAUGGGGACCAGAUGGCACGUUACAUGCAAAAGCCAAGAACUGAAACUUUAAGACCCCCUGUUUAUAGCGGAAAAGAAAUUUGUGAGGCCUGGCUACUCUUUGCAUAGGUGUAAGUUUAUACAACAGCAGUUAUCCCUUGUGUCCAUCCCUGUCUCUGUCU
RNAcentral lists this long non-coding RNA (801 nucleotides) under Zonotrichia albicollis (white-throated sparrow). RNAcentral's name for it is "lncRNA (ENSZALG00000006032.1)". Lineage: Eukaryota; Metazoa; Chordata; Aves; Passeriformes; Passerellidae. The record is from RNAcentral.